UAGCUACAGGCUUAACACAUGCAAGUCGAGGGGCAGCAUCAUCAAAGCUUGCUUUGAUGGAUGGCGACCGGCGCACGGGUGAGUAACACGUAUCCAACCUGCCGACAACACUGGGAUAGCCUUUCGAAAGAAAGAUUAAUACCGGAUGGCAUAGUUUUCCCGCAUGGGGUAAUUAUUAAAGAAUUUCGGUUGUCGAUGGGGAUGCGUUCCAUUAGGCAGUUGGCGGGGUAACGGCCCACCAAACCAACGAUGGAUAGGGGUUCUGAGAGGAAGGUCCCCCACAUUGGAACUGAGACACGGUCCAAACUCCUACGGGAGGCAGCAGUGAGGAAUAUUGGUCAAUGGACGAGAGUCUGAACCAGCCAAGUAGCGUGAAGGAUGACUGCCCUAUGGGUUGUAAACUUCUUUUAUACGGGAAUAAAGUGAGCCACGUGUGGCUUUUUGUAUGUACCGUAUGAAUAAGGAUCGGCUAACUCCGUGCCAGCAGCCGCGGUAAUACGGAGGAUCCGAGCGUUAUCCGGAUUUAUUGGGUUUAAAGGGAGCGUAGGCGGGUUGUUAAGUCAGUUGUGAAAGUUUGCGGCUCAACCGUAAAAUUGCAGUUGAUACUGGCGACCUUGAGUGCAACAGAGGUAGGCGGAAUUCGUGGUGUAGCGGUGAAAUGCUUAGAUAUCACGAAGAACUCCGAUUGCGAAGGCAGCUUACUGGAUUGUAACUGACGCUGAUGCUCGAAAGUGUGGGUAUCAAACAGGAUUAGAUACCCUGGUAGUCCACACAGUAAACGAUGAAUACUCGCUGUUGGCGAUAUACUGUCAGCGGCCAAGCGAAAGCAUUAAGUAUUCCACCUGGGGAGUACGCCGGCAACGGUGAAACUCAAAGGAAUUGACGGGGGCCCGCACAAGCGGAGGAACAUGUGGUUUAAUUCGAUGAUACGCGAGGAACCUUACCCGGGCUUAAAUUGCAACUGACGGAACCGGAAACGGUUCUCUCUUCGGACAGUUGUGAAGGUGCUGCAUGGUUGUCGUCAGCUCGUGCCGUGAGGUGUCGGCUUAAGUGCCAUAACGAGCGCAACCCUUAUCGAUAGUUACUAGCAGGUCAUGCUGAGGACUCUAUCGAGACUGCCGUCGUAAGAUGUGAGGAAGGUGG
This 1143-nucleotide ribosomal RNA is filed under the name uncultured Bacteroides sp. RNAcentral's name for it is "bacterial SSU rRNA". It matches the Rfam family "Bacterial small subunit ribosomal RNA", at positions 37 to 1176 of the family's 1533-position model. Lineage: Bacteria; Pseudomonadati; Bacteroidota; Bacteroidia; Bacteroidales; Bacteroidaceae. The record is from RNAcentral.